Long non-coding RNA from Nothobranchius furzeri (turquoise killifish), 784 nucleotides. RefSeq lists it as uncharacterized. The record is from RefSeq and is a predicted model, not a curated record. Lineage: Eukaryota; Metazoa; Chordata; Actinopteri; Cyprinodontiformes; Nothobranchiidae.
CACACACACACACACAGUGUUCAGCUGCACAGAAACUGAACAACAGUGGCACAAAACGGGGACCAAGGUAUUAAACCAGGUCCAGUUAAUGACAUGGUCAUCAUAUCAGCCAGACAAAGAGAGAAGAGACCGGUAGAAUGAACAAGAAGCAGUUUGUAAAAAGGAGUCAGCUUCCCCGAUGACAGCUUCAUUCUGAAGGUGCAGGAGGCGUACCACAGACUUGGUGCAGAUGAGGCUCCGGUGAUGACAGCCAUGGCUGUCUCUGGUGAUGUACCUCUGGUUGGGUCCACGUUUGGUUCGGUGCAGGAGGGAAGCGGGCCAUCUUACCAACUACCAGUGAGGACGGCCCCCAGGACGCGUCCACACAAAGACAACCCUUCUCUCCCACAACUGUCUCUCUCUCAUUAUAGACUGGGACCCUCUGCAUGUGCAUUUGUGUUUACUGAACAUCAUCAUUUCACAUCCCUCACAACAUCAUUGGGGAAAUCAUACAAAGCUGAGAACAGAACACAAUCGCAGAGUUUCUGUGUGGAGGGGCACCAACUAAGGAGAUGCCACAUCACUUCUACAAAAUUUAGAUAAGUGUGUCACACCAGGGCAGAAGGUUCUGCUGAGAACCUUGUGAAACAGCCUAUGUGAACAAGUAGUCAGACUGAUGACAAAUGUUGGGGUCUUGCUUUGGAGCCUACAGCCAUCAAGGAGUACUGCAAGGUAAUAGAGGUAAACCACUACCCUUGUGGGGUCCUGAUCCACCUUGAGGCACCAUGGAUGGGUUCAACACCAG